CCCGGUCCUCGGUAGUGGCCUCCCGAACGCGUCCGCCCCCGGCGGGCCGCCGUCGGUGGGCCUCGAUCGAAGACCGCC
Molecule: regulatory RNA element, 78 nt
Organism: Xylanimonas cellulosilytica DSM 15894
Lineage: Bacteria; Bacillati; Actinomycetota; Actinomycetes; Micrococcales; Promicromonosporaceae
Rfam family: Actino-pnp RNA
Source: Rfam